This 286-nucleotide unclassified non-coding RNA is filed under the name uncultured fungus. RNAcentral's name for it is "partial contains 5.8S ribosomal RNA, internal transcribed spacer 2, and large subunit ribosomal RNA". The stretch from base 1 to 52 matches the Rfam family "5.8S ribosomal RNA", at positions 103 to 154 of the family's 154-position model. Lineage: Eukaryota; Fungi. The record is from RNAcentral.
AACGCACCUUGCGCUCCUUGGUAUUCCGAGGAGCAUGCCUGUUUGAGUGUCAUGAAAUCUUCAACCUAUAAACCUUUGCGGGUUUGUAGGCUUGGAUUUGGAGGCUUGUCGGCCUAACGGUCGGCUCCUCUUAAAUGCAUUAGCUUGAUUCCUUGCGGAUCGGCUCUCGGUGUGAUAAUUGUCUACGCCGCGACCGUGAAGCGUUUGGCGAGCUUCUAAUCGUCUCUUAUGAGACAACACAUUGACCUCUGACCUCAAAUCAGGUAGGACUACCCGCUGAACUUAA